Molecule: ribosomal RNA, 433 nt
Filed under: uncultured bacterium
Lineage: Bacteria
Description: partial 16S ribosomal RNA
Rfam family: Bacterial small subunit ribosomal RNA
Source: RNAcentral
AACGAACGCUGGCGGCAUGCCUAACACAUGCAAGUCGAACGAGACCUUCGGGUCUAGUGGCGCACGGGUGCUUAACGCGUGGGAACCUGCCCUUAGGUUCGGAAUAACGCACCGAAAGGGGUGCUAAUACCGGAUAAUGUCUUAGCGCCAAAGAUUUAUCGGGUUUGGAUGGGCCCGCGUUUGAUUAGCUAGUGGGUAGGGUAACAGCCUACCAACGCGACGAUCCAUUGCUGGUCUGCGAGGAGGACAAGCUACAAUGGGACUGAGACACUGACCAGACUGCUACGGGAGGCAGGAGUGGGGAAUAUUGGACGAUGGGCGAAAGUCUGAUCAAGCAAUGCCGCGUGAGAGAGGAAGGGCUUAGGGUUGUAAAGCUCUCUUAGCCGGGAGGAUAAUGACAGUACAGGGAGAAUAAGCACCGGCUAACUCCGUG